ACUAGCCAUGUGAACUUGGGCAAGUGACCUAAUCCUCUGCAUUUCAUCUCUAAAUUGGGGAGAAUAGAAGCAUCUACUUCAUGUAGUAGCCAGGAUUAGAAGAGAUGGGGCCACUUGAGGGAAAAGACCUACCCAAGGGCACAUAAUCUGUACAUGAGAGAGAGCCAGAUGUAACAGACUGAGUACUGGACUUGGGGUUAAACAGACUGUGAAUCUUUCCACCCCAUUGGGAGGAAUAACUGGGCCCUGGAUAGAAUGUGAUGAAUGUAUAUUCUUAAUGAGAAGUGGAAAUAAUUUGUGGUUGAGAGCUGUGCCUCAGAUCAGAGUGACAGGAUACAUGGCUAGGCUAUAUUUUCCAGCAGAUUAAGAGCUGCGGCCCAAGACUCUGAAAUAUGAAGAAAAAAGGAGAAGAUGACAGCAUAUCUUUUUAAAGAAAUAUUUUCCAGCCAAAUGGUGUAGCAGAGGACUUCCAGGAAUUUGUUCUUGUUCUGUAUCAAAGGUGAAGAGUUCGUAGCCUUCAAGGAAACAAGAAACCAUGGGAUGGAGUGAAGGAAGGUGGCCUGGAACCAGCUGCUGAGCCUCUCUGAGCCCCAGUUUCCUCGUCUCUAAAAUGGGGCUGAUCUCCUCUCCCUCAGACUGUUGUUGCAGGAAUUAAAACAGGUGUUGAGUGGGAAA
RNAcentral lists this long non-coding RNA (675 nucleotides) under Homo sapiens (human). RNAcentral's name for it is "non-protein coding lnc-DMRTA2-1:7". The record is from RNAcentral. Lineage: Eukaryota; Metazoa; Chordata; Mammalia; Primates; Hominidae.